This 452-nucleotide ribosomal RNA is filed under the name uncultured bacterium. Its description in RNAcentral is "bacterial SSU rRNA". It matches the Rfam family "Bacterial small subunit ribosomal RNA", at positions 29 to 526 of the family's 1533-position model. The record is from RNAcentral.
AACGAACGCUGGCGGCAGGCUUAACACAUGCAAGUCGAACGCCCUCUUCGGAGGGAGUGGCAGACGGGUGAGUAACGCGUGGGAACCUACCUUAAGGUACGGAAUAACACAGAGAAAUUUGUGCUAAUACCGUAUGUGCCCGAGAGGGGAAAGAUUUAUCGCCUUUAGAUGGGCCCGCGUUGGAUUAGCUAGUUGGUGAGGUAACGGCUCACCAAGGCGACGAUCCAUAGCUGGUUUGAGAGGAUGAUCAGCCACACUGGGACUGAGACACGGCCCAGACUCCUACGGGAGGCAGCAGUGGGGAAUAUUGGACAAUGGGGGAAACCCUGAUCCAGCCAUGCCGCGUGAGUGAUGAAGGCCUUAGGGUUGUAAAGCUCUUUCGCUGGGGAAGAUAAUGACGGUACCCAGUAAAGAAGCCCCGGCUAACUUCGUGCCAGCCGCCGCCGUAACAC